GCUAGAGCGGACAAGUUUGUUUCAGCAAUUAAGAAAGUUAGUGAGAGGUGAGAGAAAGAUGGAAAGCGCUCAAGUGCGUUGCUGUGUGUUAGAGGAUGACUUUUACACCGUACUGCAAAAGUCUGAAAGUGAAAGAAAAUGUGUCAGGUCAUAUUGGUGCAAAAGCGCGCCUCGCAAAUGUUGGCUGAAUUUAAAAAAGAAACAGAAGUGCAACGUUUGCGCCUGACCGCCAGUGAUGUGGGGUUCUCAUUGACUUUCUGAUGAAGAUGAGAAUGAGGAGAGACAAACUGGACUGUCCAUGAGGUCUGGGGUCAGCUUACUUACACACCUUUUAGGUCUAAGACGCAGGAUUGAGAAACAGUUUCACCGCAGGACUAUCAGACUGGUUUCCACCACAUUCACCCAUCCUGACAAGCGGUGGGGAAACCACCCCAGCAAAGCUCAUCUGUAUGCAGCCAGUUAUGGCCACCAGUGAAUGUCGGCCGUGUCUUGGGAGGCAGAUGGGACUGUAUGCUAAUGAGAAGUUGAGAUGUUGCUGAGGCACUUUGUGGUUAUGACCUCAUCAUCAUGAGAUGGAAAGGCUGGUGACUGCAGGCAGCUACAGAAGAGGUGGUGCUGUGUUGUGGUUUGCAGCUGCUGGUUCUUGGCAAAAUAAAUUGCACUGUGGAGAUGCCUCAGGGAAUUAUUUGCUCAAAGGUUGAAAGGAUGAACAAAAAAAAGGAAUUCAAGAGAUAUUUGUGAUUCAUACUGUGUUUGUCUGUAGUUGUGACUUAGAUGUAUCUCCUAUCAAAUUUCGUAAUCAAUGGAGAAACUGUAAAAUAUUUAAAUAUUUAAAUAUUAUUAUUAAAUAUUUAUUUAUUAUUUUUAAUCAGAAUUUUUUUUUUACACCAGCAAUUAAGUUCCACAGUUUAAGGACUAACUGGUCUGGUUGACUGACACUGCUGAGUAACACUACAGUGUUUUAAAACUAUUAACAGGCUGCCAUUCAUGGGGCGAGUGGGCUUCAUGGCUAUUGUCACACAUUACAACCACGUAGUAAAAUUUUAAAAAGUCGUUACUGCUGAGAACAUGUCAUUCAUCAGAAAUGUGCACACAUUUUACAUGACAGGAACUGUUUUUUCCCCACUUCUCCUGAAAUAUACUACAUCAGGAAAAAAUGGUUUUUACCCUAAAAUUCCCAUGUUAUGAGCAGGGUUUUGAAAAAAUUUUCCACUAAUCCAUCCUGAGUCAUAGGUAUGACUUCAGCAAUGUUAGGGAACUUCUUUAGAUGGUGUUAAAGAGCUUAACAGGGCGCCUCCUUGUAGGAAUGUAAUGACUCCACUUCUGUUUGGAGACACCCCAGACCUAAAGAGCUCCUCUUUUCUGUGUUUUAAGAGAAAGACAUACUCCUCUCUUUUCUACUUUUUAAAUGUAUCCAUACUCUGGCAUUCAUAGGAAUUGGCAUUAACACGAGUAGAUAGAAACUACGUGAAAAGUGAGUCAUGCCUAGAAAACCCUGACCCUAGAAAAUGUUGAUAUACACUGCUUUAUUCCCUUAACUAUAUAAAGAUUGGUGCCUGGAAUUUUUUUUUUUCUGCACGUGUAAGAUUUGUAACAUGUAACAUUUCCAUUCUACAACAUGAAGUGGGAAGACUACAUGUAGUCUUGUACCUACAAUCGUGAAUUUCAAGGCCUGAUGUGGAUGCUUGUCUCACCUACUUUUUCCUUGUACUUGUUUUCCUCUAAUAUUACGAUUAAUUAAUAAACUAAUUAUUCUAGCUUAUGGAAUUGAUACAUUUGGCUGUUAAUUAUUAAAAAAGAAGCAUACACUAUUUUUAUGGGCAAAUUAAUAAUCUAAAAGAAGCUUUGACAAAUCAACACUUUUAAUAGUCAAUUAAUAGUCAAUAUAUGACCCCACCCCCCUCCACACACACACACACACACACACACAUAGAAAAAAACCCAUGAAAAAUAUACGACUUGGUUUAGUUUGACCUCUGUUACAUUGAGGCAGUGAUAUUUGAGUGCUGAGCAGGAAGCAGGUUCUCAUAGCCGUGUCUUUUUCCCCAUGUUGAAAAUGAUGGCACAGAAUGUAAGAUUGUAAUGUAUGAAGUACCAAGGAAAUUUUGCUAUGAAAUAAAAAAAUUAAAUAAAAUGCAGUUUUUCUUAAGAGUCGUGGAGUUUUCAGGUAUCAUGUUUAGGAAAUGCUUCAGUGAAGUGACACUUUUUAAAGCAAGUGGGUGAUUGAUCGGUGAACAGAGGAGUUUAAUGUGGCAUUCAGGUUCAGGUGUAAUUUCUAGCACAAUAUGCCGAUCAGUAUGGUACAUACAAAAGAGUGGACAGGAAAAGAGCUCAGUUUGUUCAUAUGGGUAAUGCAGACAAAAAAAAUACAUUUGCAGUGUGUGUGUGUGUGUUUGUGUAUUGUAAAAGGAACCGUGUAAACCUAAAAGAGGGACAAAGACCAAAGAAGGAAGAGUGCAUGUGAAAAAGAGAAAGACAAAGUGGUGAGAGAGGGCGUAUAUCUUUAGCUGCCUAUAAAGCUCUGCGUGCUUCUCAUUUUAGGCAGAAGUGAAUCCUGGCUGUAAGAAAUGAUGACAAUACACUAAUAAAGCAUCUCAAACUGA
Molecule: long non-coding RNA, 2603 nt
Organism: Neolamprologus brichardi
Lineage: Eukaryota; Metazoa; Chordata; Actinopteri; Cichliformes; Cichlidae
Source: RefSeq, a predicted model, not a curated record